GAGUUUGAUCCUGGCUCAGAUUGAACGCUGGCGGCAGGCCUAACACAUGCAAGUCGAACGGUAACAGGAAGAAGCUUGCUUCUUUGCUGACGAGUGGCGGACGGGUGAGUAAUUUCUGGGAAACUGCCUGAUGGAGGGGGAUAACUACUGGAAACGGUAGCUAAUACCGCAUAACGUCGCAAGACCAAAGAGGGGGACCUUCGGGCCUCUUGCCAUCGGAUGUGCCCAGAUGGGAUUAGCUUGUUGGUGGGGUAACGGCUCACCAAGGCGACGAUCCCUAGCUGGUCUGAGAGGAUGACCAGCCACACUGGAACUGAGACACGGUCCAGACUCCUACGGGAGGCAGCAGUGGGGAAUAUUGCACAAUGGGCGCAAGCCUGAUGCAGCCAUGCCGCGUGUAUGAAGAAGGCCUUCGGGUUGUAAAGUACUUUCAGCGGGGAGGAAGGGAGUAAAGUUAAUACCUUUGCUCAUUGACGUUACCCGCAGAAG
RNAcentral lists this ribosomal RNA (489 nucleotides) under uncultured bacterium. RNAcentral's name for it is "bacterial SSU rRNA". It matches the Rfam family "Bacterial small subunit ribosomal RNA", at positions 9 to 487 of the family's 1533-position model. The record is from RNAcentral.